Molecule: ribosomal RNA, 253 nt
Filed under: uncultured bacterium
Lineage: Bacteria
Description: partial 16S ribosomal RNA
Rfam family: Bacterial small subunit ribosomal RNA
Source: RNAcentral
UACGUAGGGUGCGAGCGUUAAUCGGAAUUACUGGGCGUAAAGCGUGCGCAGGCGGUUUUGUGAGCCAGAUGUGAAAUCCCCGGGCUCAACCUGGGAAUGGCAUUUGGGACUGCAAGGCUGGAGUACGGCAGAGGAGACUGGAAUUCCUGGUGUAGCAGUGAAAUGCGUAGAUAUCAGGAGGAAUACCGAUGGCGAAGGCAGGUCUCUGGGCUGAUACUGACGCUCAUGCACGAAAGCGUGGGGAGCAAACAGG